RNAcentral lists this ribosomal RNA (1361 nucleotides) under uncultured bacterium. RNAcentral's name for it is "bacterial SSU rRNA". It matches the Rfam family "Bacterial small subunit ribosomal RNA", at positions 28 to 1381 of the family's 1533-position model. The record is from RNAcentral.
AUUGAACGCUGGCGGCAGGCCUAACACAUGCAAGUCGAGCGGUAGCACAGAGAGCUUGCUCUCGGGUGACGAGCGGCGGACGGGUGAGUAAUGUCUGGGAAACUGCCUGAUGGAGGGGGAUAACUACUGGAAACGGUAGCUAAUACCGCAUAACGUCGCAAGACCAAAGUGGGGGACCUUCGGGCCUCAUGCCAUCAGAUGUGCCCAGAUGGGAUUAGCUAGUAGGUGGGGUAACGGCUCACCUAGGCGACGAUCCCUAGCUGGUCUGAGAGGAUGACCAGCCACACUGGAACUGAGACACGGUCCAGACUCCUACGGGAGGCAGCAGUGGGGAAUAUUGCACAAUGGGCGCAAGCCUGAUGCAGCCAUGCCGCGUGUGUGAAGAAGGCCUUCGGGUUGUAAAGCACUUUCAGCGGGGAGGAAGGCGAUAAGGUUAAUAACCUUGUCGAUUGACGUUACCCGCAGAAGAAGCACCGGCUAACUCCGUGCCAGCAGCCGCGGUAAUACGGAGGGUGCAAGCGUUAAUCGGAAUUACUGGGCGUAAAGCGCACGCAGGCGGUCUGUCAAGUCGGAUGUGAAAUCCCCGGGCUCAACCUGGGAACUGCAUUCGAAACUGGCAGGCUAGAGUCUUGUAGAGGGGGGUAGAAUUCCAGGUGUAGCGGUGAAAUGCGUAGAGAUCUGGAGGAAUACCGGUGGCGAAGGCGGCCCCCUGGACAAAGACUGACGCUCAGGUGCGAAAGCGUGGGGAGCAAACAGGAUUAGAUACCCUGGUAGUCCACGCCGUAAACGAUGUCGAUUUGGAGGUUGUGCCCUUGAGGCGUGGCUUCCGGAGCUAACGCGUUAAAUCGACCGCCUGGGGAGUACGGCCGCAAGGUUAAAACUCAAAUGAAUUGACGGGGGCCCGCACAAGCGGUGGAGCAUGUGGUUUAAUUCGAUGCAACGCGAAGAACCUUACCUGGUCUUGACAUCCACAGAACUUUCCAGAGAUGGAUUGGUGCCUUCGGGAACUGUGAGACAGGUGCUGCAUGGCUGUCGUCAGCUCGUGUUGUGAAAUGUUGGGUUAAGUCCCGCAACGAGCGCAACCCUUAUCCUUUGUUGCCAGCGGUCCGGCCGGGAACUCAAAGGAGACUGCCAGUGAUAAACUGGAGGAAGGUGGGGAUGACGUCAAGUCAUCAUGGCCCUUACGACCAGGGCUACACACGUGCUACAAUGGCAUAUACAAAGAGAAGCGACCUCGCGAGAGCAAGCGGACCUCAUAAAGUAUGUCGUAGUCCGGAUUGGAGUCUGCAACUCGACUCCAUGAAGUCGGAAUCGCUAGUAAUCGUAGAUCAGAAUGCUACGGUGAAUACGUUCCCGGGCCU